This 138-nucleotide ribosomal RNA is filed under the name uncultured eukaryote. RNAcentral describes it as "partial 18S ribosomal RNA". It matches the Rfam family "Eukaryotic small subunit ribosomal RNA", at positions 1299 to 1458 of the family's 1831-position model. The record is from RNAcentral.
UGGUGGAGUGAUUUGUCUGGUUAAUUCCGUUAACGAACGAGACCUUGGCCUGCUAACUAGUCGCGGCGAUCUCGAUCGUCGUCGACUUCUUAGAGGGACUUUGUGGCACUAAACACAAGGAAGUUUGAGGCAAUAACA